CCUACGGGUGGCAGCAGUGAGGAAUAUUGGUCAAUGGACGCAAGUCUGAACCAGCCAAGUCGCGUGCAGGAAGACGGCCCUAUGAGUUGUAAACUUCUUUUGUAUGGGGGUAAACGCAGAUACGCGUAUCUUUCUGUAAGUACCAUACGAAUAAGGAUCGGCUAACUCCGUGCCAGCAGCCGCGGUAAUACGGAGGAUUCAAGCGUUAUCCGGAUUUAUUGGGUUUAAAGGGUGCGUAGGCGGACGGAUAAGUUAGAGGUGAAAUUCGGAGGCUCAACUUUGGAAUUGCAUCUGAUACUGGUCGGCUAGAGAGUAGUAGAGGUAGGCGGAAUGUGUGGUGUAGCGGUGAAAUGCUUAGAGAUCACGCAGAACACCGAUUGCGAAGGCAGCUUAC
Molecule: ribosomal RNA, 394 nt
Filed under: uncultured bacterium
Lineage: Bacteria
Description: partial 16S ribosomal RNA
Rfam family: Bacterial small subunit ribosomal RNA
Source: RNAcentral